AUUGAACGCUGGCGGCAGGCCUAACACAUGCAAGUCGAACGGUAACAGGGAUCAGCUUGCUGAUUCGCUGACGAGUGGCGGACGGGUGAGUAAUGUCUGGGAAACUGCCUGAUGGAGGGGGAUAACUACUGGAAACGGUAGCUAAUACCGCAUAACGUCGCAAGACCAAAGAGGGGGACCUUCGGGCCUCUUGCCAUCGGAUGUGCCCAGAUGGGAUUAGCUAGUAGGUGGGGUAACGGCUCACCUAGGCGACGAUCCCUAGCUGGCCUGAGAGGAUGACCAGCCACACUGGAACUGAGACACGGUCCAGACUCCUACGGGAGGCAGCAGUGGGGAAUAUUGCACAAUGGGCGCAAGCCUGAUGCAGCCAUGCCGCGUGUAUGAAGAAGGCCUUCGGGUUGUAAAGUACUUUCAGCGGGGAGGAAGGGAGUAAAGUUAAUACCUUUGCUCAUUGACGUUACCCGCAGAAGAAGCACCGGCUAACUCCGUG
This 490-nucleotide ribosomal RNA is filed under the name uncultured bacterium. RNAcentral describes it as "partial 16S ribosomal RNA". It matches the Rfam family "Bacterial small subunit ribosomal RNA", at positions 30 to 507 of the family's 1533-position model. The record is from RNAcentral.